GCAUAGUAUUCCAUGGUGUAUAUGUGCCACAUUUUCUUAAUCCAGUCUAUCGUUGUUGGACAUUUAGGUUGGUUCCAAGUCUUUGCUAUUGUGAAUAGUGCCACAAUAAACAUACGUGUGCAUGUGUCUUUAUAGCAGCAUGAUUUAUAAUCCUUUGGGUAUAUACCCAGUAAUGGGAUGGCUGGGUCAAAUGGUAUUUCUAGUUCUAGAUCCCUGAGGAAUCGCCACACUGACUUCCACAAUGGUUGAACUAGUUUACAUGGCACCCAACUACUACUCGACAUUCGUAACCUUUUAUUCAUUAGAAAUGACCAACGGGAACUUUAAAUUACAUGACAGCAGUUUCCUUCUUAGAAAGAGGAAGGUAAAACUCAGAGAAACCUAUCAAGCCUGAAUAAAGGAGUAAACACAAAAAUGAAGCAGUUCCAACUCUUCUAUGGGGCUCCCUACCUGUGGUCCUUCAUCCUCAUAAUAUUAUUUUCUGAAUGGCCUCUGACAGCCACGAUUUCCCCAAAUGACCAAAGUCGUCAAACUAUUCAGCAUAGCAGAUCAGGAAAAUUGUCAGAUUUAUUUUAGAAAGAAUUUUAAAGGACAGGUGGACUCUAAAGGGAUGUUGUGCUUAGCUAGAUAUUCAAAAAUGCAAUUAACGAACACAUUCCUUCUCCAGAUACACCGAGUUUUCCUGUGUGUUCAGGUGUUUGUUCCGAGGGUGCGUUAGUGGACCAAUUCCUCCACCUGUGCAUCUGGAGACCUGGGGAUGUCUAUGCUCUUUGCCCCCUGCCAGGGUUGAGCAUGUGAUCAUAUCUCCAGCGGACGACACCAAAAGAAUGUCUGUGACCUUGUCCCCUGGCGACCACGUCUACAGCGACUGAGUGCUGCCGUGGCUGGAAAGCCAGGGUCUGCAUCUCCCAGGACCUCAGGACCCGUGUUGAGGUGUUGUGGGCCAAGAAGAGGAGGGUCCAUGGUGGGCUCUGCCGCAGGUGACCCUGCGCACUGUCCUAGCACCUGUGCCUAAGGAGACGCCCUCUAUGGGCUAAGCUUGAAGCAGAAGAAACCACAGUAAAAACACUGGUCAAUGUAUAGUAAUUUUAAAGUCAUCUACUUCCUAUACAUGUGAUUGUUGGCCAGGGCAUUUAUGAUUUCUGUUAUAUUUUAUUUUCCUAUGGUCUUAAGUUGUUGGUUAUACUCUAGAACUUUGCAUACAUGCAGUUGUUGGCUGGGACAUUUAUGAUUUAUGUUAUAUUUUAUUUUCCUACAGUCUUAAGUUGUUGGUUAUACUCUAGAACUUUGCAUACAUGCAGUUGUUGGCUGGGACAUUUAUGAUUUAUGUUAUAUUUUAUUUUCCUACAGUCUUAAGUUGUUGGUUAUACUCUAGAACUUUGCAUACAUGCAGUUGUUGGCUGGGACAUUUAUGAUUUAUGUUAUAUUUUAUUUUCCUACAGUCUUAAGUUGUUGGUUAUACUCUAGAACUUUGCAUACAUGCAGUUGUUGGCUGGGACAUUUAUGAUUUAUGUUGUAUUUUAUUUUACAAUUGUCUUAAGUUGUUGGUUAUCCUCUAGAACUUCCUGUACAUGUAGGGUUGGCCGGGCCAUUCAUGAUUUAUGUUGUAUUUUAUUUUGCUAUGAUCUUAAGUUGUUGGUUUUCCUCUAGAACUUCUUGCACAUGUAAUUGUUGGCCAGGGAAUUUAUGAUUUACACUGUGUUUUAUUUUAUUAUGAUCAUAAGUUGUUGGUUUUCCUCUAGAACUUCCCAUACAUAAUUCUUGGCCAGGGCAUUUAUGACGUAUGUUGUGUUUUAUUUUGCAAUGGUCUUAAGUUGUUGUUGUUGUUGUUUUCUAGAACUUUAGUGCAUUUCACAGUAACAUAUUUUAGUGGAUGGUGAGGUGAGGGCCCAAACCCCCCAAAACAAAUUGUAAAUUCCAGUAAAAACUAUUACCCAGUAGUUGGCAUGGAAAAGUUUGGUGGCUCCUUACCAAGUUAAAUGUAGAACUACCAUAUCACACAGAAACUCCACUCCUAGGCAUAUAUGUCCGGAAGAAUUGUGGGCAGAGGCUGGAACAGAUAAUUGUACAGGAAAGUCAUAACAACAUCAUUCACAAUAACCAAAAAGCAGAAGCAACCAUGCCCAUUGAGAGGUGAAUGGGUAAGCCCAACGUGGUCUGUCCAUACAAGGGAAUGCUUUCAGCCUCAACAAGGGAUGGAGUUUUCAUACACGCUGCAACCAGGAUGGACCUGCAAAACACAUGAAGCGCAGUAAGCCAGACACAGAAGGACAGAUAUGACAUGUCUCCAUGGACACGGAAUACUUAGAACAGGCAAUUUCACAGACAGAAGGUAGAGUGGAGACACUCAAGGCUGGGGAAUGGGAUGGAGGGGGUGUUGUUAUUGGAGGUGCCGAGCUUAUGUUGGGGAUGGUGAAGAAGUUUUGGGGAUAGCAGUGGUGAGGGCUACACAAAUUGUGAAUAGAUUUAAUGCUACUUCAUUGUCUGCGGAAAAACGGCUACAAUGGCAAGCAUUCUAUUCUCUAUGCUUUACCAUAGCAAAAAAAAAAAAAAAAAAAAAAAAAAGAAUACCUAGUAGGAACUUUAUGCGGUUAUUUUGAAACAUGGGUCAGAUUCUAAAUUUACUCUCCAGGAUCACAACGAUAAGUGUUUUGUGAAUGGUGGAGCCAGUGAUGCAGAGAGGACUGCCGACACUGCCCCCCAGGGGCUCUGAGCCUCUGUCUCCUCACCUGUGAAGCAGACGCAAGUUACUUGGAAGUAUUUUCAAGCACGAACGUGCAUGACGGCUCCUUUAUUUAUGUGUUGGGAGCAGCUCGGAUCUACUCAGCGACUUUCCAGAGAGCUGUGUGGCCUUACUAAUGACAGACAUCGUGGUGCAUUCCAGACCCCUGGGCUUGUUCAUCUGACGUCACUGCAACUUCCUGAUUCCACUCAAUAGGCCAAGACAAGCGGAAGCUCCGGUUCAGGGAGAACGUUCCCCAGGAAAUCAGGGCAGCAGAGUUUUCCAGGAACGGAGGCUGUGACGGUGGAGGGUGGCCAGGCAGCCGGAGGCCGGGGAAGCGGGUGUCCUGAAGCAGAGGCCGCGGUGCCACGUGUAUGGCAGCUUGCAGUUUUCAGAGAGAACGGAGUGGUCUCUGCAUUUUAAUAAACCCACCAUCUGCACCCAGAGUCCUGCAAAGUGGAUCUUGAUGCUGUGGCCCUUACGGGUGAGGCGGGAGCAGCCCAUAGAUGCCGGGGCCUGGCCGGCCUGGGCUUUUCUCUGUGCAGCCUACAGGGGAGGCUGUAAGGGCCUGCAGCCGGUGCUCCGAUACAGCGGCUGGGAAGUGGAACACAUGGCAACUGCUGGGUCACCUCGCUGUGUUUUCUGAGGCACAUGUGUUUUGGAACGUAGUGUUAGUGAACGUCCGUCCGUGAGGGCUUCCAUCUCUCAGGAUGAAAGCCAAAGUGAUUGCUCCAAAUGGACAUCCAUGCCAGUCAUCUGUGUAAGGAUCGCUGAGUGUCUCACAAAAGCACAUGGGUAUGAAGGUGGGGUUGACAUUGAUGAUUAAACCAAGCAGUACAGAAGCAUCGGUGCUGGUCACUUAUCCCCGUCCUUCCCAUCGUUCGAGAUCCCCUUCCAGCGAAUGGCAUCUUCUGGUGUGUGCAGGACCCGAUGGAGGAGUGAUGAUACCUCAGAGCCAUGUCCAGGCUCUUCCAGUCAGUUGGUGGCCUCCACAAACGCCAGCCAGCCCGCCCAAUGCAAGCUCCUGCUUGGCCAAUGUGUAGCAGUUACGAUGCAACAAUUGGAAGAGGCUGUGGGGAUCAGUAAUUCCAGUGGGGGAGCGACGGACACCCCUAAGAACCCAUUCCACGACUUUAGUCCCAAAUUGGAUUUUGCUUGGAGAAAUUCUCUGCCCUGUAGUAGUGGUUUUUAAGAUCACAGAUAUUGGAGUAAGAAAGACAAGGCUCUUCCAUUUGCUGGUCUAUUGACUCACAGGGGAAUACCAGAGAACUUGGCAUCCAGAAAACAGUCAAUAAAUGAAGACAGUGCAACUAAGA
Long non-coding RNA from Pan troglodytes (chimpanzee), 4038 nucleotides. RefSeq lists it as uncharacterized. Lineage: Eukaryota; Metazoa; Chordata; Mammalia; Primates; Hominidae. The transcript has 7 exons. The record is from RefSeq and is a predicted model, not a curated record.